RNAcentral lists this ribosomal RNA (301 nucleotides) under uncultured bacterium. RNAcentral's name for it is "partial 16S ribosomal RNA". It matches the Rfam family "Bacterial small subunit ribosomal RNA", at positions 509 to 808 of the family's 1533-position model. The record is from RNAcentral.
CAGUAGCCGCGGUAAUACGUAGGUCCCGAGCGUUGUCCGGAUUUAUUGGGCGUAAAGCGAGCGCAGGCGGUUAGAUAAGUCUGAAGUUAAAGGCUGUGGCUUAACCAUAGUACGCUUUGGAAACUGUUUAACUUGAGUGCAAGAGGGGAGAGUGGAAUUCCAUGUGUAGCGGUGAAAUGCGUAGAUAUAUGGAGGAACACCGGUGGCGAAAGCGGCUCUCUGGCUUGUAGCUGACGCUGAGGCUCGAAAGCGUGGGGAGCAAACAGGAUUAGAUACCCGUGUAGUCCCUGUCUCUUAUACA